UCUUCCUUAGCUCAGUCGGUUAGAGCAUCUGACUGUUAAUCAGAGGGUC
This 49-nucleotide transfer RNA is filed under the name Porphyromonadaceae bacterium. Its description in RNAcentral is "tRNA-Asn". It matches the Rfam family "tRNA", at positions 1 to 46 of the family's 71-position model. Rfam says of the family: Transfer RNA (tRNA) molecules are approximately 80 nucleotides in length. Their secondary structure includes four short double-helical elements and three loops (D, anti-codon, and T loops). Further hydrogen bonds mediate the characteristic L-shaped molecular structure. tRNAs have two regions of fundamental functional importance: the anti-codon, which is responsible for specific mRNA codon recognition, and the 3' end, to which the tRNAs corresponding amino acid is attached (by aminoacyl-tRNA synthetases). tRNAs cope with the degeneracy of the genetic code in two manners: having more than one tRNA (with a specific anti-codon) for a particular amino acid; and 'wobble' base-pairing, i.e. permitting non-standard base-pairing at the 3rd anti-codon position. Lineage: Bacteria; Pseudomonadati; Bacteroidota; Bacteroidia; Bacteroidales; Porphyromonadaceae. The record is from RNAcentral.